AGGCACGUCAACGAAGACGCUGUCUGGCUGUGGGGGAUGUCGGUGGUCUGCGAGAUCUGGUUCGCCUUCUCGUGGCUACUCGACCAGCUCCCCAAGUUCUGCCCGGUGAAUCGCGCCGCCGACCUGACGGUGCUCAAGGAGAAGUUCGAGAAAUCCUCCUCCGGACGAUCCGACCUCCCCGGGAUCGACAUCUUCGUCUCCACGGCCGACCCGGAGAAGGAGCCCCCCCUGGUCACGGCCAACACCAUCCUCUCCAUCCUCGCCGCCGACUAUCCCGUGGAGAAGCUCUCCUGCUACGUCUCCGACGACGGCGGCGCUCUCCUGACCUUCGAGGCGAUGGCGGAGGCGGCGAGCUUCGCCGACAUCUGGGUCCCCUUCUGCCGGAAGCACUCCAUCGAGCCCAGGAACCCGGAGAG
Molecule: long non-coding RNA, 416 nt
Filed under: Spirodela polyrhiza (greater duckweed)
Lineage: Eukaryota; Viridiplantae; Streptophyta; Magnoliopsida; Alismatales; Araceae
Description: long non-coding RNA (SPOL_LNC002295)
Source: RNAcentral